GAUCCUGGCUCAGGAUGAACGCUGGCGGCGUGCUUAACACAUGCAAGUCGAACGAAGCACUUUAAUUGAUUUCUUUCGGAAUGAAGUUUUUAGUUGACUGAGUGGCGGACGGGUGAGUAACGCGUGGGUAACCUGCCUCAUACAGGGGGAGUAACAGUUGGAAACGACUGCUAAUACCGCAUAAGCGCACAGGAUUGCAUGAUCCAGUGUGAAAAACUCCGGUGGUAUGAGAUGGACCCGCGU
RNAcentral lists this ribosomal RNA (243 nucleotides) under uncultured bacterium. RNAcentral describes it as "partial 16S ribosomal RNA". It matches the Rfam family "Bacterial small subunit ribosomal RNA", at positions 15 to 236 of the family's 1533-position model. The record is from RNAcentral.